GAAGCACCGCCCCCGGCCGGCAGCUGCGGGCACCCCAGCGCUUCCCGCGCAGGGCGGAGCUGGUGUGAUGUUCGAAGCGAGCGCGGGCCGGUUCCGGUGGGGAUUUCCGUGGGGACUUUUUCGCUGCGUAAGCGCCGGAGCGGUGGUUUCCCUGCCCCGCCGCCCGGCCGGGCGCGGCGCUGGCUGCAGCGCCCGCUUACACCUGCCCUGCAGAGCGCUCUUCAGCGAGCCGGGGACACGCGAGCCAUCCGGCCUCCCCUGAAAACAUCUGGGCCGCCGAGCAAGGACGUUUUCAAGGACGGCAAGUGAGAAAGCGAGCAGCGAAGGAAACCCCUCCCGGCUGCCGAGGCGGGCGGGGGAGGCGGAGCGGUGCGGCCGGGGGGCAGGCGCCCGCUGGUCGCGGCGGGGCCGUCCCCGCUGCCCGGCCCUGCAGGAGCGUGUGCGCGCAGCAAGGGGCUACGUCGGAGAGGUUGGCGCGCUUAAUGAACGGCGUUCACCUGGUCCUGCCGGUCCCUGCGUGCCUGUCCCUAACCAUCUCCCGCGCUGCCCCUGUGAACCUCACCGCGCUGGCUGCUCCAUCGAGGGAGAGCAGGAGAAAUCUUACUCCGCCCCAUGUAAUUUCUCUCGGUUUCACUCUUUUUAAACCUCCCAAAGUCUUGGUAUUUUUCAUACAUUCAUACUCCCGCUUGCUUUUCACUCUCGCUUGUUAUUUUAUUUAAUCAGCUGCUUGCUGAUUGGCCUCUUGAUCCUCUGGUUUUUGUCUGUCCUGUAAUGUUGCUGUUCCAAUAAAUGGCCUGUAUAGCUUGUAUAAGGAAAAAUAUUAGUUGCUGUUAUCAUUGAUCCAUAAUGUAAACAUAACCAUAGUGGGAAAAUAGUAAAAAGGUUUUCUUUGUUGUUUUUUUCCUCUCUUCUCCAA
Apus apus (common swift) is the source of this 916-nucleotide long non-coding RNA. RefSeq lists it as uncharacterized. The record is from RefSeq and is a predicted model, not a curated record. The transcript is spliced from 2 exons. Lineage: Eukaryota; Metazoa; Chordata; Aves; Apodiformes; Apodidae.